CAAAUGUUCUGCUCUGCUGUCUCCACCCUGCUAGGACGUAGGACUCUACUCAGUUCAUUCUAUUGAUCGAUACGGUUGUCCUCAGGAGCGUUGUGGUGGGCUGGAAACUUUCCCAGCUGCCACUGGCAGGUACACCCUAGACAAAAUGCCAGACUAUCACAUGACUAACACAGAAAGACAAAAAUGCAUACCUACAGCCAAUUUACAAUCGUCAAUUAACAAGGAUGUCUUUGGACUGUGGGAGGACUGAGAGAGAUCAUGUCAGCUCGGCAUGGACAAGGCUCCAGAAUUUCCCCACUUCUGCUCUGCCCAGCUCAGCCAUCAAAUCAAGCCUCUGUCCCAGCCUUGGCUUUGGAACUUCAACCAGCAUCUUCCUACGACUCAUUUAUUUAUUUGUGACAGGUGGUAGCCUGAGCUAACAGGUGGGAGAGAGUUGGGGAGCCGGUCUCAAAGUCCAGGCUGCCAACACGACCCCUAUGUCCAUAUUUGGAGUAUCCAAGUGUGGGUGGAGUACAGCUCAUCCAACAUGGUGACCCGGGCUCCGCAUACGUCAGGCUUCGGAAGUAGUGAAAAGUUAGUUCAGAUGAGGAAAACAUCUGGGAAAGGGCCACCGUAAACCAGUGAUGGUGCUCUGCUGCAUUCCUACACUGAUGAAACAUGACUGAAACUCCAUGACCUUUGUAAAUCAAUAAGUUUAAAAAUAGCAUCUAAUUUGCGUUUACAUGUCAGGCAAAUUGAUUAACACUAUAGUGAAAGAUCAAUUGAUUGAAAAGAAAUAACUCUGGUCGAUACAGGAAACAGGCUGGAGGUGCAAAGUCAUGUGUACAGAUUGGCUAGUAACUUACCUAAUGGACUAGAAUGGAAUUGAUUCCACAACGAUGCAUUUUACAGAAACACACAUCACUCCCUGCUAUUAAAAUUUGAAUCAAUA
Mugil cephalus (flathead mullet) is the source of this 931-nucleotide long non-coding RNA. RefSeq lists it as uncharacterized. NCBI's taxonomy places the organism in Eukaryota, Metazoa, Chordata, Actinopteri, Mugiliformes, Mugilidae. The record is from RefSeq and is a predicted model, not a curated record. The transcript is spliced from 4 exons.